CCUACGGGUGGCAGCAGUAGGGGAUAUUGCUCAAUGGGGGAAACCCUGAAGCAGCAACGCCGCGUGGAGGAUGAAGGUUUUCGGAUUGUAAACUCCUUUUGUUAGAGAAGAUAAUGACGGUAUCUAACGAAUAAGCACCGGCUAACUCCGUGCCAGCAGCCGCGGUAAUACGGAGGGUGCAAGCGUUACUCGGAAUCACUGGGGGUAAAGAGCGCGUAGGCGGGAUAGCAAGGCAGAUGUGAAAUCCUAUGGCUUAACCAUAGAACUGCAUUUGACACUGGGUGGCUAGAGUAUGGGAGAGGUAGGUGGAAUUCCUGGUGUAGGGGUAAAAUGCGUAGAGAUCAGGAGGAAUACUCAUGGCGAAGGCGACCUGCUGGAACAUAACUGACGUUGAGGCGCGAAAGCGUGGGGAGCAAACAGGAUUAGAUACCCGGGUAGUC
RNAcentral lists this ribosomal RNA (440 nucleotides) under uncultured bacterium. RNAcentral describes it as "partial 16S ribosomal RNA". It matches the Rfam family "Bacterial small subunit ribosomal RNA", at positions 338 to 795 of the family's 1533-position model. The record is from RNAcentral.